Molecule: long non-coding RNA, 485 nt
Filed under: Zonotrichia albicollis (white-throated sparrow)
Lineage: Eukaryota; Metazoa; Chordata; Aves; Passeriformes; Passerellidae
Description: lncRNA (ENSZALG00000011025.1)
Source: RNAcentral
CUCUCAGCUCUGAAGGAAAUGCCAAGUCAACAGCAACAGCCACAGCAACAGGUUGCAGUAAGCCCAGGCCCCGCUGUCCCGCCUGCUUGUGCCCGUGCUGCUGGCGCUGGGCUGGAUCCUGGGCUGUGCCCUCAUGGUGUACAUUGUCUUCUCCUGACCUUGGAGGGAUGGCAGUGCCACACAGAGCCCUGUGGUGAGAAGAACCUACAAUGAAGUUGAUCAAAAGAACUCAGAAGUUCAGUUUAGAUUUCUAAUUACUAAAAUACGUAUAAAAUGAGUUAUUUUUAAUAUCAGCCAUGUUAAUGCUGUGCACACUUUUUAUCCGUUAGGAAGCAUCACCAAACCUAUUUCCCUGUUCUCAGAUUAUUUGCAAUUUAGGGAGUGGUUUUUGGAAUCUCGUGGUAGGUCAGAUCCUGCCUGCUUGCUGAACAGCAAACUUUUAAAACAGCUACCCACCAGCUAAGGAGCUUCAAGCUUGGUAGAAA